This 662-nucleotide non-coding RNA is filed under the name Harpactocrates apennicola. The record is from RNAcentral. Lineage: Eukaryota; Metazoa; Arthropoda; Arachnida; Araneae; Dysderidae.
AAAUAAAUUAAUGAAAUUACUUGUCUAAUAAUAUAAUAUUACGAUUUAUUUUAACAUUUAACUUAACAAUAUUUUUAAUUUACUUAAAAUAAAAGUUUUUAUAAAAAAAUUGAUUAAAUUCGUGCCAGCAAUCGCGGUUAAACCUAUAUUUUAACUAAACAAAACUCAAUUGAUUUAACAUUCUUAUUAAUGAUACUUUUAAGUAAAAUUUAAGUAUCCAACAUUAUACUCAAUUAGAAACUCCUAAUAAACUAGGAUUAGAUACCCUACUAUAAAAGAAACAUUAAGGUAGUACUUUAAACCUAUUCCUUUUGGCGGCGUAAGAUAAAAUCAAAGGAACUUGUUUUUUAAUCGAUAAUACUCGCUAAAUCUCACUUUUUAUAAAAGCUUAUAUACCGCCGUUUAAACAUUUUUAAAACAAUUUUUUAUACCUCUAUUUAAAACUUCAGGUCAAGGUGUAGCCCAUAAAAAAGCUAAAAUAAGUUACUAUAAAAGCUAUUUAUAGAAAUAAAAGAAACUCAAAUAAAACCGGAUUUAAAAACAAUAAUCUAAUAGUAAUAGAUUAUGAAAUUCAUUUAAACGUGCACAUAUCGCCCGUCACCCUCCUUCCAAAAGGAGGUAAGUCGUAACACAGUUGAUGUUCUGGAAAGAGCCUCAUGUUU